Biomphalaria pfeifferi is the source of this 1134-nucleotide non-coding RNA. The record is from the annotation of a GenBank genome assembly. Lineage: Eukaryota; Metazoa; Mollusca; Gastropoda; Planorbidae.
UUGUUGCGACAUAACUACCAGCAGUAUAUCAGAACUUCAGGGGAGAGCAGUCAAUUUUCUAUCAUUAAUUGUAGCGCAGUAAAGUUUAAUAAUCAUUCUUUUUCUAUAAUAUUUUUAAAACAAAAUAUUUCAGAACUGCUUCAAAAUUUAAACAGAGCAACAUUAAUUUAUGAGUUUAGCGAGUCGCGCACAUUAAAACAAGUCCAUACCCAGUCUUGUACUAAAGUCAUUUUUUAUUUUAAAAUACGUUAAUAAGAUACAAUUAGUCUUCCCCUAUCACCAGAUAAUGAUGUACAAAUAGAGUCAUGUAUAAUUAUUCCCAAUUUAAAUGUCAACAUAAUUUGUACAAUAGGAGUCCCAAAAGCAAACAGUCGAUAUAUUGAAAUGUAUCUAGUUCUAAAUAGUAGUUAAAUUUAUGAGCAAACAUAAUGACAUGACUUCGUUAUUUUUUUUUUGUUUUAUAAAAUACAUGUAUUUUGUAUGAGUAAUGACUUUUUGUCUCUAUCAUAAAAGUGUUCAAAUACUACAGGGCAGACAUAAAUGUAACGGGAUUUUUCAUUACUAAUGAUCUCAAAUCAAUCAAUAAAUUGUGACGUCAAACAAUGGCGCCUCUGAUAGAAUUAUAAUUUAUGCACAUCUCACUUUCUUAUACUGUAACAAGAUCUUCUACAAAAUGAUACAGGAGAAACAAGUUUUAUUUUUUUUCUUAUUAAGUUUCGGAAUUUCGGAAGGCUCAAGAUGCUAGUCCACAAGAAUUGAACCAGGUAUCAAAUUGACAUUGUAGCCCUACAGCCCGGAGCACAUGUCAUACAACCUGGCAGCCGAUGCUGCUGCAUGUCUUGAAGGUUGUAUAUAUUGUCUCUCAAACUGUUUCUCAACAUAAAACAAUAAUUUCUAUAGUGUUGGUAAAUAUCACAGUUAAUUUGUACACAAUAUAUUCUAUAAAUAUUUUGUUUUUUUAUAAUAAAGAAUCAAAUUAAAAAUAAGCAUAAUUUGUUUAUAAAAACAUAAACAAUAUACAUUUGGACAUUAAUUUAAAAUGUAAAAACGUAUAAAUAUAUAAACAAAAAGUAAUUAACCAUUCAUAACCAUUCAUAAAGACACAUGUGUUAUUUUCUUUUUUUUUUUUUUUUC